This 402-nucleotide ribosomal RNA is filed under the name uncultured Sphingobacteriales bacterium. RNAcentral describes it as "bacterial SSU rRNA". It matches the Rfam family "Bacterial small subunit ribosomal RNA", at positions 980 to 1382 of the family's 1533-position model. Lineage: Bacteria; Pseudomonadati; Bacteroidota; Sphingobacteriia; Sphingobacteriales. The record is from RNAcentral.
CUCAAAUGUAUGUUGACGUAUUCGUGUAAAGGGAUACUUCUUCGGACAAUAUACAAGGUGCUGCAUGGUUGUCGUCAGCUCGUGCCGUGAGGUGUCGGGUUAAGUCCCAUAACGAGCGCAACCCCUAUCAUUAGUUGCCAUCAGGUCAAGCUGGGGACUCUAAUGAAACUGCCUACGCAAGUAGUGAGGAAGGUGGGGAUGACGUCAAAUCAGCACGGCCCUUACGUCCAGGGCUACACACGUGCUACAAUGGCCGGUACAAAGGGCAGCUACCUGGUGACAGGAUGCUAAUCUCAAAAGCCGGUCUCAGUUCGGAUCGGAGUCUGCAACCCGACUCCGUGGAGUUGGAUUCGCUAGUAAUCGCGCAUCAGCCAUGGCGCGGUGAAUACGUUCCCGGGCCUU